UUUUAUGGAGAGUUUGAUCCUGGCUCAGAGUGAACGCUGGCGGCGUGCCUAAUACAUGCAAGUCGAACGAUGAAGCUUCUAGCUUGCUAGAGUGCUGAUUAGUGGCGCACGGGUGAGUAACGCAUAGGUUAUGUGCCUCUUAGUUUGGGAUAGCCAUUGGAAACGAUGAUUAAUACCAGAUACUCCCUACGGGGGAAAGAUUUAUCGCUAAGAGAUCAGCCUAUGUCCUAUCAGCUUGUUGGUAAGGUAAUGGCUUACCAAGGCUAUGACGGGUAUCCGGCCUGAGAGGGUGAACGGACACACUGGAACUGAGACACGGUCCAGACUCCUACGGGAGGCAGCAGUAGGGAAUAUUGCUCAAUGGGGGAAACCCUGAAGCAGCAACGCCGCGUGGAGGAUGAAGGUUUUAGGAUUGUAAACUCCUUUUGUUAGAGAAGAUAAUGACGGUAUCUAACGAAUAAGCACCGGCUAACUCCGUGCCAGCAGCCGCGGUAAUACGGAGGGUGCAAGCGUUACUCGGAAUCACUGGGCGUAAAGAGCGCGUAGGCGGGAUAGUCAGUCAGGUGUGAAAUCCUAUGGCUUAACCAUAGAACUGCAUUUGAAACUACUAUUCUAGAGUGUGGGAGAGGUAGGUGGAAUUCUUGGUGUAGGGGUAAAAUCCGUAGAGAUCAAGAGGAAUACUCAUUGCGAAGGCGACCUGCUGGAACAUUACUGACGCUGAUUGCGCGAAAGCGUGGGGAGCAAACAGGAUUAGAUACCCUGGUAGUCCACGCCCUAAACGAUGGAUGCUAGUUGUUGGAGGGCUUAGUCUCUCCAGUAAUGCAGCUAACGCAUUAAGCAUCCCGCCUGGGGAGUACGGUCGCAAGAUUAAAACUCAAAGGAAUAGACGGGGACCCGCACAAGCGGUGGAGCAUGUGGUUUAAUUCGAAGAUACACGAAGAACCUUACCUAGGCUUGACAUUGAGAGAAUCCGCUAGAAAUAGUGGAGUGUCUGGCUUGCUAGACCUUGAAAACAGGUGCUGCACGGCUGUCGUCAGCUCGUGUCGUGAGAUGUUGGGUUAAGUCCCGCAACGAGCGCAACCCCCUUUCUUAGUUGCUAACAGGUUAUGCUGAGAACUCUAAGGAUACUGCCUCCGUAAGGAGGAGGAAGGUGGGGACGACGUCAAGUCAUCAUGGCCCUUACGCCUAGGGCUACACACGUGCUACAAUGGGGUGCACAAAGAGAAGCAAUACUGCGAAGUGGAGCUAAUCUUCAAAACACCUCUCAGUUCGGAUUGUAGGCUGCAACUCGCCUGCAUGAAGCUGGAAUCGCUAGUAAUCGCAAAUCAGCCAUGUUGCGGUGAAUACGUUCCCGGGUCUUGUACUCACCGCCCGUCACACCAUGGGAGUUGUGUUUGCCUUAAGUCAGGAUGCUAAAUUGGCUACUGCCCACGGCACACACAGCGACUGGGGUGAAGUCGUAACAAGGUAACCGUAGGUGAACCUGCGGUUGGAUCACCUCCUUUCUAGA
This 1510-nucleotide ribosomal RNA is filed under the name Helicobacter pylori. RNAcentral describes it as "bacterial SSU rRNA". It matches the Rfam family "Bacterial small subunit ribosomal RNA". The record is from RNAcentral. Lineage: Bacteria; Pseudomonadati; Campylobacterota; Epsilonproteobacteria; Campylobacterales; Helicobacteraceae.